Molecule: ribosomal RNA, 497 nt
Filed under: uncultured bacterium
Lineage: Bacteria
Description: partial 16S ribosomal RNA
Rfam family: Bacterial small subunit ribosomal RNA
Source: RNAcentral
GAUGAACGCUGGCGGCGUGCCUAAUACAUGCAAGUCGAGCGAACGGACGAGAAGCUUGCUUCUCUGAUGUUAGCGGCGGACGGGUGAGUAACACGUGGAUAACCUACCUAUAAGACUGGGAUAACUUCGGGAAACCGGAGCUAAUACCUGAUAAUAUUUUGAACCGCAUGGUUCAAAAGUGAAAGACGGUCUUGCUGUCACUUAUAGAUGGAUCCGCGCUGCAUUAGCUAGUUGGUAAGGUAACGGCUUACCAAGGCAACGAUGCAUAGCCGACCUGAGAGGGUGAUCGGCCACACUGGAACUGAGACACGGUCCAGACUCCUACGGGAGGCAGCAGUAGGGAAUCUUCCGCAAUGGGCGAAAGCCUGACGGAGCAACGCCGCGUGAGUGAUGAAGGUCUUCGGAUAGUAAAAAUCUGUUAUUAGGGAAGAACAUAUGUGUAAGUAACUGUGCACAUCUUGACGGUACCUAAUCAGAAAGACACGGCUAACUGCGUG